GGCGGAGUGGUGAAACGGUAAACACAUGGGGUCGCUACCCUCUGGCAAUUGGCUGAACAGUCUGAAAGUAAGUCCAUACAUUGCAGGUUCGAGUCCUGCCUCCGCCA
RNAcentral lists this transfer RNA (107 nucleotides) under Gammaproteobacteria bacterium. Its description in RNAcentral is "tRNA-OTHER". It matches the Rfam family "tRNA". Rfam says of the family: Transfer RNA (tRNA) molecules are approximately 80 nucleotides in length. Their secondary structure includes four short double-helical elements and three loops (D, anti-codon, and T loops). Lineage: Bacteria; Pseudomonadati; Pseudomonadota; Gammaproteobacteria. The record is from RNAcentral.